GAUGAACGCUGGCGGCGUGCCUAAUACAUGCAAGUCGAGCGAACAGAUGAGGAGCUUGCUCCUCUGACGUUAGCGGCGGACGGGUGAGUAACACGUGGAUAACCUACCUAUAAGACUGGGAUAACUUCGGGAAACCGGAGCUAAUACCGGAUAAUAUAUUGAACCGCAUGGUUCAAUAGUGAAAGACGGUUUUGCUGUCACUUAUAGAUGGAUCCGCGCCGCAUUAGCUAGUUGGUAAGGUAACGGCUUACCAAGGCAACGAUGCGUAGCCGACCUGAGAGGGGGAUCGGCCACACUGGAACUGAGACGCGGUCCAGACUCCUACGGGAGGCAGCAGUAGGGAAUCUUCCGCAAUGGGCGAAAGCCUGACGGAGCAACGCCGCGUGAGUGAUGAAGGUCUUCGGAUCGUAAAACUCUGUUAUUAGGGAAGAACAAAUGUGUAAGUAACUAUGCACGUCUUGACGGUACCUAAUCAGAAAGCCACGGCUAACUACGUG
RNAcentral lists this ribosomal RNA (497 nucleotides) under uncultured bacterium. RNAcentral describes it as "partial 16S ribosomal RNA". It matches the Rfam family "Bacterial small subunit ribosomal RNA", at positions 28 to 507 of the family's 1533-position model. The record is from RNAcentral.